GAUGAACGCUGGCGGCGUGCCUAAUACAUGCAAGUCGAGCGAACAGACGAGGAGCUUGCUCCUCUGACGUUAGCGGCGGACGGGUGAGUAACACGUGGAUAACCUACCUAUAAGACUGGGAUAACUUCGGGAAACCGGAGCUAAUACCGGAUAAUAUAUUGAACCGCAUGGUUCAAUAGUGAAAGACGGUUUUGCUGUCACUUAUAGAUGGAUCCGCGCCGCAUUAGCUAGUUGGUAAGGUAACGGCUUACCAAGGCAACGAUGCGUAGCCGACCUGAGAGGGGGAUCGGCCACGCUGGAACUGAGACACGGCCCAGACUCCUACGGGAGGCAGCAGGAGGGAAUCUCGCGAAAUGGGCGAAAGCCUGACGGAGCAACGCCGGGGGAGUGAUGAAGGUCUUCGGAUCGUAAAACUUUGUUAUUGGGGAAAAAAAAAUGUGUAAGUAACUAUGCACGUUUUGACGGUACCUAAUCAAAAAGCCCCGGCUAACUACGU
Molecule: ribosomal RNA, 496 nt
Filed under: uncultured bacterium
Lineage: Bacteria
Description: partial 16S ribosomal RNA
Rfam family: Bacterial small subunit ribosomal RNA
Source: RNAcentral